Molecule: ribosomal RNA, 492 nt
Filed under: uncultured bacterium
Lineage: Bacteria
Description: bacterial SSU rRNA
Rfam family: Bacterial small subunit ribosomal RNA
Source: RNAcentral
GACGAACGCUGGCGGCGUGCCUAACACAUGCAAGUCAAGGAGAAUUCCCGACUUGUCGGGAUAGUAAACUGGCGAACGGGUGAGUAACACGUAGGUAAUCUACCCUCGGGAUCGGGAUAACCUCGCGAAAGUGGGGAUAAUACCGAAUAAAGUCUCGGUAUAAUUUGUCGAGAUGAAAGAUGGGGAUCUUCGGACCUAUUACCUGAGGAUGAGCCUGCGCCUGAUUAGCUAGUUGGUAGGGUAAAUGCCUACCAAGGCAACGAUCAGUAGCUGGUCUGAGAGGAUGAUCAGCCACAUUGGGACUGAGAUACGGCCCAGACUCCUACGGGAGGCAGCAGUGAGGAAUUUUGCGCAAUGGGCGAAAGGCCUGACGCAGCAACGCCGCGUGACUGAUUAAGCUCUGAGGAGUGUAAAAGUCUGUCGUAGAGGAAGAAACUAUCCGAUAAGAAUAAUUGUCGGAUACUGACGGUACUCGUAAUGAGAAAGCUCGGA